UACGGAGGGUGCAAGCGUUAUCCGGAUUUAUUGGGUUUAAAGGGUGCGUAGGCGGAAGAAUAAGUCAGUGGUGAAAGUUUGCAGCUCAACUGUAAAAUUGCCGUUGAAACUGUUUUUCUUGAGUGUGAAUGAGGUAGGCGGAAUGUGUUGUGUAGCGGUGAAAUGCUUAGAUAUAAUACAGAACCCCGAUUGCGAAGGCAGCUUACCGGACUGUAACUGACGCUGAGGCACGAAAGCGUGGGGAUCAAACAGG
RNAcentral lists this ribosomal RNA (253 nucleotides) under uncultured bacterium. Its description in RNAcentral is "partial 16S ribosomal RNA". It matches the Rfam family "Bacterial small subunit ribosomal RNA", at positions 524 to 776 of the family's 1533-position model. The record is from RNAcentral.